Molecule: long non-coding RNA, 882 nt
Organism: Pezoporus flaviventris
Lineage: Eukaryota; Metazoa; Chordata; Aves; Psittaciformes; Psittacidae
Exons: 2
Source: RefSeq, a predicted model, not a curated record
AUGACAGGAUCGUGUCAACUCUGGAUCCAUGAUUAUGGUGCUCUGGGAAGACCCUUAUAUGAGCUGCUAAAAGAAAAUCCAACCUUUCUAAAAUGGACAGAUCAAGCUGAAGAAGCGUUUAAAAGUUUAAAGACAGAACUCAUGAGAGCUCCAGCUCUGGGGCUCCUGAACAUGACUAAACACUUUUGCCUAUAUUCCUAUGAGAAACAGCAAAUAGCCUUGGGGGUUUUGGCUCAAAGAUUGGGAUCUUAUAAAAGAGCAGUGGCCUAUUGUUCAAAACAACUGGAUGAACAAAGUGAAGGCUGCCCUGGAUACUUGUGAGCAGUGGCAGCAGUCAUCUUAAACAUCCAAGAGGCCCAAAAAUUUACACUGGCACAAAAGAUCACCCUGUUAGUAUCACGUGCAGUAUCAACAGUCCUAGAACAAAAAGGUACACACUGGCUAUUGCCAUCACGUUUCUUGAAGUAUCAAGCCAUCCUAGUAGAACUGGAUGAUGUGGAAAUUGUGAUCACUAAUGUUGUGAAUCCAGCAUCUUUCCUUCAGGAAACCCCUACCGAACCAUCAACUCACAACUGCUUGGCCACAAUAGAGACAGUAUAUUCGAGCUGACCAGAUCUGAAGGAGGAGCCUCUGGAGGGUGCAGAUUCCUGGUUCACCGGUGGCAGCAGCUUUGUUAAAGAUGGUAAACGAAGAGCAGGAUAUGCCAUAACUACAACUUCAAAGAAUUUUGCAGGUGAUCCCCUAGAAGAGAAGUGGAGUGGACCAUACCAGGUAUUACUGACUACCUUUACAGCAGUGAAGAUAAAGGAACAGCCUGCUUGGAUACAUUACUCAAGAAUCAAGAAGGCACCAGAACCAGAAACACAUCAGAACCAAGAAAAA